UGGGGAAUAUUGCACAAUGGACGGAAGUUUGAUGCAGCGACGCCGCGUGGAGGGUGUAGGCCUUCGGGUUGUGAACUCCUUUUUCUCGCGAAAAAGGCACAGUUUUGGCUGUGUUGAUGGUAGUGGGGGAAGAAGCGCCGGCUAACUACGUGCCAGCAGCCGCGGUAAUACGUAGGGCGCGAGCGCUGCCCGGAUUUAUUGGGCGUAAAAAGCUCGUAGGUGGUUCGUCGCGUCUGUCGGGAAAGCCAGCAGCUUAACUGUUGGUCUGCGGUGGGUACGGGCGGGCUUGAGUGCGGUAGGGGUGACUGGAAUUCCGGGUGUAGAGGUGGAAUGCGCAGAUAUCAGGAGGAACACCGAUGGCGAAGGCAGGUCACUGGGCCGUUACUGACACUGAGGAGCGAAAGCGUGGGGAGCGAACAGG
RNAcentral lists this ribosomal RNA (421 nucleotides) under Fusobacteriota bacterium. Its description in RNAcentral is "Fusobacteria bacterium partial 16S ribosomal RNA". It matches the Rfam family "Bacterial small subunit ribosomal RNA", at positions 355 to 776 of the family's 1533-position model. The record is from RNAcentral. Lineage: Bacteria; Fusobacteriati; Fusobacteriota.